Molecule: unclassified non-coding RNA, 590 nt
Filed under: Bombus terrestris (buff-tailed bumblebee)
Lineage: Eukaryota; Metazoa; Arthropoda; Insecta; Hymenoptera; Apidae
Description: misc RNA ENSBTSG00005037354.1
Source: RNAcentral
AUCUGUAUUUGAAUCUGGCCACAAACAUGAGUAACAAACACUGCAGCCAAACCAUAUGCAACCGUGGUGAUGCUAUACAUAAUCAUAGCAGCGAAGCAGUGAAGAAAGAACACGAUUUCAUAGUCUUAUCCGUGGACAAGAAUUGCGCCACCGUGUGAUAGGACAUUCCACCUGUAUAUAUGAAAACGGCACACAUGGUAAUAAGCUUUCUGCUAAUGCCUGCGUAUUUUAACAUAAUCUGCCGAUGACUCGGAUCCUGCACUCUCUUCCAGUCAUUUUUGAGCUGUCGGAUGCACCUCUGCAGGAAGGCUCCUUUUAGGGCAAGGUAACUGUACUUAACUGUGGCAAAUACACAGAAGCCAACUGGACCGAGCAUUUUCACCUUCAUGUAAAGAUUUUUCUCUACGAAAAAGAAGUGAUGGCCAGAUGGUAAGAUGAUGAAGAAUAUGCUGCAGAAGCAUAUGAUCAUAACUACGACUGAGAGGAGCUGUUCCAGUUUGCUCGUGUGAUCGUUAACGAGGGGCCACACUCCAAUCAGUUUCAACAGCCAUUGACACAUCUGCAGCGUGUAAUGUAUGUCGUUCUGGUAA